RNAcentral lists this ribosomal RNA (491 nucleotides) under uncultured bacterium. Its description in RNAcentral is "partial 16S ribosomal RNA". It matches the Rfam family "Bacterial small subunit ribosomal RNA", at positions 29 to 507 of the family's 1533-position model. The record is from RNAcentral.
GUGAACGCUGGCGGUAGGCCUAACACAUGCCAGUCGAACGGCAGCACAGUAAGAGCUUGCUCUUACGGGUGGCGAGUGGCGGACGGGUGAGGAAUACAUCGGAAUCUACUUUUUCGUGGGGGAUAACGUAGGGAAACUUACGCUAAUACCGCAUACGACCUACGGGUGAAAGCAGGGGAUCUUCGGACCUUGCGCGAUUGAAUGAGCCGAUGUCGGAUUAGCUUGUUGGCGGGGUAAAGGCCCACCAAGGCGACGAUCCGUAGCUGGUCUGAGCGGAUGAUCACCCACACUGAAACUGAGACACGGUCCAGACUCCUACGAGAGGCAGCAGUGUGGAAUAUUGGACAAUGGGCGCAAGCCUGAUCCAGCCAUACCGCGUGGGUGAAGAAGGCCUUCGGGUUGUAAAGCCCUUUUGUUGGGAAAGAAAAGCAGCAGGUUAAUACCCCGCUGUUCUGACGGUACCCAAAGAAUAAGCACCGGCUAACUUCGUG